This 253-nucleotide ribosomal RNA is filed under the name uncultured bacterium. RNAcentral describes it as "partial 16S ribosomal RNA". It matches the Rfam family "Bacterial small subunit ribosomal RNA", at positions 524 to 776 of the family's 1533-position model. The record is from RNAcentral.
UACAGAGGUCCCAAGCGUUGUUCGGAUUCACUGGGCGUAAAGGGUGCGUAGGCGGUCGGGUAAGUCGGAUGUGAAAUCCCAGGGCUCAACCCUGGAACUGCAUUCGAUACUGCCUGGCUAGGGUACUGGAGAGGAGACUGGAAUUUACGGUGUAGCAGUGAAAUGCGUAGAUAUCGUAAGGAAGACCAGUGGCGAAGGCGAGUCUCUGGACAGUUACCGACGCUGAGGCACGAAGGUCAGGGGAGCAAACGGG